AACGAACGCUGGCGGCGUGCUUAACACAUGCAAGUCGAGUGCGCGUGCCGUAGCAAUACGGCAUGGCGCACGGCGCACGGGUGCGUAACACGUGGGCAAUCUGCCCUUCGAUGGGGAAUAACUCCGGGAAACCGAAGCUAAUUCCGCAUAACAUUCCUUGGACUUCGGUUCGAGGACUCAAAGCCGUAAGGCGUCGAAGGAGGAGCCCGCGCACGAUUAGCUAGUUGGAGGGUAACGGCCUACCAAGGCUUUGAUCGUUAGCUGGUCUGAGAGGAUGGCCAGCCACACUGGAACUGAGACACGGUCCAGACUCCUACCGGGAGGCAGCAGUGGGGAAUCUUGC
This 343-nucleotide ribosomal RNA is filed under the name uncultured bacterium. RNAcentral describes it as "bacterial SSU rRNA". It matches the Rfam family "Bacterial small subunit ribosomal RNA", at positions 29 to 367 of the family's 1533-position model. The record is from RNAcentral.